UUUUUGUGGGGUGAUGGCGUGCCUUUUGAAGAAUGAGCCUGCGAGUCAGCGGCAUGUCGCGAGGUUAACCCGUUUGGUGGGGUAGUCGUAGCGAAAGCGAAUACUAACUAGUGUGUUGUCAGUGGCAUGUCCUGGACCCGAAGCGGGGUGAUCUACCCAUGGCCAGUGUGAAGCAGAGGUAAGACUCUGUGGAGGCGCGAACCCACUUAGGUUGAAAACUGAGGGGAUGAGUUGUGGGUAGGGGUGAAAGGCCAAUCAAACUCCGUGAUAGCUGGUUCUCCCCGAAAUGCAUUUAGGUGCAGCGUCGUGUGUUUCCUCCUGGAGGUAGAGCUACUGGUUGGUUUAGCGGGACUAUCAUCUUAGCGACAUCAGCCAAACUCCGAAUGCCGGUGAGGUCAGAGCACGGCAGUGAGACUGCGGGGGAUAAGCUUCGUAGUCGAGAGGGAAACAGCCCAGAUCGCCGGCUAAGGCCCCUAAGGGUGUGCUAAGUGGAAAAGGAUGUGGGAUCGCGAAGACAACCAGGAGGUUGGCUUAGAAGCAGCCAUCCUUGAAAGAGUGCGUAAUAGCUCACUGGUCGAGUGGUUCUGCGCCGACAAUGUAGUGGGGCUCAAGUACACCGCCGAAGCCGCGGCAAUCACCUUUGUGGUGGUUGGGUAGGGGAGCGUCGCGUGACUGCUGUGAAGCGCUGGGGUAACCCUAGUGUGGAGUGUGCGCGAGUGAGAAUGCAGGCAUGAGUAGCGAAUGAGGAGUGGAAAACUCCUCCGCCGAAUGACUAAGGGUUCCUGGGCCAGGUUAAUCCUCCCAGGGUGAGUCGGGACCUAAGGCGAGGCCGACAGGCGUAGUCGAUGGAUAACGGGUUGAUAUUCCCGUACCCGUGUGUCCGCGCCCAUGGUGAAUCAGGGAUACUAACCCACCUGAACACGCGCCGUUUACUAGCCUUUUAGGUUGGUUGGUGUGUGUGAUGCUGGGGACCUGAACUGGUAGUAGCCAAGUGAUGGGGUGACGCAGGAAGGUAGCCGUGCCACGUGAUGGAUAUCGUGGUGUAAGCGUGUGGCCCGUGUUCUAGGUAAAUCCGGAGCACAUAUAGGGUGAGGCGUGAUGCGUACCCGUUUUGGGGAAGUUGGUGAUCCUAUGCUGCCGAGAAAAGCCUCUAGCGAUGUGGAUAUACGGCCCGUACCCGAAACCGACACAGGUAGUCAGGUAGAGAAUACUAAGGCGAUCGGGAGAACUGUGGUUAAGGAACUCGGCAAAAUGCCCCCGUAACUUCGGGAGAAGGGGGGCCAUGACUGGUGACCGACGUGGUUGAGCUGGUUGUGGCCGCAGAGAAUAGAGGGAAGCGACUGUUUACUAAAAACACAGGUCCGUGCGAAGACGGGUAAGUCGAUGUAUACGGACUGACGCCUGCCCGGUGCUGGAAGGUUAAGAGGACCUGUUAGACCCCUUUUGCGGGUCGAAGCGGAGAAUUUAAGCCCCAGUAAACGGCGGUGGUAACUAUAACCAUCCUAAGGUAGCGAAAUUCCUUGUCGGGUAAGUUCCGACCUGCACGAAUGGCGUAACGACUUCCCUGCUGUCUCAACCACAGACCCGGCGAAAUUGCAGUACGAGUAAAGAUGCUCGUUACGCGCGGCAGGACGAAAAGACCCCGGGACCUUCACUAUAGCUUGGUAUUGGUGUUCGGUUCGGUUUGUGUAGGAUAGGUGGGAGACUGUGAUGCCUCAACGCCAGUUGGGGUGGAGUCGUUGUUGAAAUACCACUCUGAUCGUAUUGGACAUCUCAACCUCGGCCCGUGAUCCGGGUUAGGGACAGUGCCUGGUGGGUAGUUUAACUGGGGCGGUUGCCUCCCAAAGAGUAACGGAGGCGCCCAAAGGUUCCCUCAGCCUGGUUGGCAAUCAGGUGUUGAGUGUAAGUGCACAAGGGAGCUUGACUGUGAGACUGACAGGUCGAGCAGGUAGGAAACUAGGGACUAGUGAUCCGGCACCGGCUUGUGGAAGCGGUGUCGCUCAACGGAUAAAAGGUACCCCGGGGAUAACAGGCUGAUCUUCCCCAAGAGUCCAUAUCGACGGGAUGGUUUGGCACCUCGAUGUCGGCUCGUCGCAUCCUGGGGCUGGAGUAGGUCCCAAGGGUUGGGCUGUUCGCCCAUUAAAGCGGCACGCGAGCUGGGUUUAGAACGUCGUGAGACAGUUCGGUCUCUAUCCGCCGCGCGCGUAGAAACUUGAGGAAGGCUGUCCCUAGUACGAGAGGACCGGGAUGGACGUACCUCUGGUGUGCCAGUUGUCCCGCCUGGGGCAUGGCUGGUUGGCUACGUACGGAAGGGAUAACCGCUGAAAGCAUCUAAGCGGGAAGCCUGUUCCAAGAUUAGGUUUCUUUUGAGGUCCCCUAUAGAUGAUGGGGUUGAUAGGCCGGAUCUGGAAGCAUCGUAAGGUGUGGAGGUGACCGGUACUAAUAGACCAAACACUCAACACACAAAGU
RNAcentral lists this ribosomal RNA (2469 nucleotides) under Corynebacterium sp. HMSC064H12. Its description in RNAcentral is "bacterial LSU rRNA". It matches the Rfam family "Bacterial large subunit ribosomal RNA", at positions 583 to 2925 of the family's 2925-position model. Lineage: Bacteria; Bacillati; Actinomycetota; Actinomycetes; Mycobacteriales; Corynebacteriaceae. The record is from RNAcentral.